CAUGCAAGUCGAACGAGAAUCUACUGAAAGAGUUUUCGGACAAUGGAUGUAGAGGAAAGUGGCGGACGGGUGAGUAACGCGUGAGGAACCUGCCUUGAAGAGGGGGACAACAGUUGGAAACGACUGCUAAUACCGCAUGAUGCAUAGGGGUCGCAUGAUCUUUAUGCCAAAGAUUUAUCGCUUCAAGAUGGCCUCGCGUCUGAUUAGCUAGUUGGCGGGGUAACGGCCCACCAAGGCGACGAUCAGUAGCCGGACUGAGAGGUUGAACGGCCACAUUGGGACUGAGAUACGGCCCAGACUCCUACGGGAGGCAGCAGUGGGGAAUAUUGGGCAAUGGGCGCAAGCCUGACCCAGCAACGCCGCGUGAAGGAAGAAGGCUUUCGGGUUGUAAACUUCUUUUAAGAGGGAAGAGCAGAAGACGGUACCUCUAGAAUAAGCCACGGCUAACUACGUGCCAGCAGCCGCGGUAAUACGUAGGUGGCAAGCGUUGUCCGGAUUUACUGGGUGUAAAGGGCGUGCAGCCGGGUCUGCAAGUCAGAUGUGAAAUCCAUGGGCUCAACCCAUGAACUGCAUUUGAAACUGUA
This 584-nucleotide ribosomal RNA is filed under the name uncultured bacterium. Its description in RNAcentral is "bacterial SSU rRNA". It matches the Rfam family "Bacterial small subunit ribosomal RNA", at positions 54 to 637 of the family's 1533-position model. The record is from RNAcentral.